RNAcentral lists this ribosomal RNA (802 nucleotides) under Enterococcus sp. H10_80. RNAcentral describes it as "bacterial SSU rRNA". It matches the Rfam family "Bacterial small subunit ribosomal RNA", at positions 83 to 870 of the family's 1533-position model. Lineage: Bacteria; Bacillati; Bacillota; Bacilli; Lactobacillales; Enterococcaceae. The record is from RNAcentral.
GGAAAAAGAGGAGUGGCGAACGGGUGAGUAACACGUGGGUAACCUGCCCAUCAGAAGGGGAUAACACUUGGAAACAGGUGCUAAUACCGUAUAACAAUCAAAACCGCAUGGUUUUGAUUUGAAAGGCGCUUUCGGGUGUCGCUGAUGGAUGGACCCGCGGUGCAUUAGCUAGUUGGUGAGGUAACGGCUCACCAAGGCCACGAUGCAUAGCCGACCUGAGAGGGUGAUCGGCCACAUUGGGACUGAGACACGGCCCAAACUCCUACGGGAGGCAGCAGUAGGGAAUCUUCGGCAAUGGACGAAAGUCUGACCGAGCAACGCCGCGUGAGUGAAGAAGGUUUUCGGAUCGUAAAACUCUGUUGUUAGAGAAGAACAAGGAUGAGAGUAACUGUUCAUCCCUUGACGGUAUCUAACCAGAAAGCCACGGCUAACUACGUGCCAGCAGCCGCGGUAAUACGUAGGUGGCAAGCGUUGUCCGGAUUUAUUGGGCGUAAAGCGAGCGCAGGCGGUUUCUUAAGUCUGAUGUGAAAGCCCCCGGCUCAACCGGGGAGGGUCAUUGGAAACUGGGAGACUUGAGUGCAGAAGAGGAGAGUGGAAUUCCAUGUGUAGCGGUGAAAUGCGUAGAUAUAUGGAGGAACACCAGUGGCGAAGGCGGCUCUCUGGUCUGUAACUGACGCUGAGGCUCGAAAGCGUGGGGAGCAAACAGGAUUAGAUACCCUGGUAGUCCACGCCGUAAACGAUGAGUGCUAAGUGUUGGAGGGUUUCCGCCCUUCAGUGCUGCAGCUAACGCAUUAAGCACUCC